RNAcentral lists this ribosomal RNA (492 nucleotides) under uncultured bacterium. RNAcentral describes it as "partial 16S ribosomal RNA". It matches the Rfam family "Bacterial small subunit ribosomal RNA", at positions 29 to 507 of the family's 1533-position model. The record is from RNAcentral.
AGUGAACGCUGGCGGUAGGCCUAACACAUGCAAGUCGAACGGCAGCACAGUAAGAGCUUGCUCUUACGGGUGGCGAGUGGCGGACGGGUGAGGAAUACAUCGGAAUCUACUUUUUCGUGGGGGAUAACGUAGGGAAACUUACGCUAAUACCGCAUACGACCUACGGGUGAAAGCAGGGGAUCUUCGGACCCUGCCCGAUUGAAUGAGCCGAUGUCGGAUUAGCUAGUUGGCGGGGUAAAGGCCCACCAAGGCGACGAUCCGUAGCUGGUCUGAGAGGAUGAUCAGCCACACUGGAACUGAGACACGGUCCAGACUCCUACGGGAGGCAGCAGUGGGGAAUAUUGGACAAAGGGCGCGAGCCUGAUCCAGCCAUACCGCGUGGGUGAAGAAGGCCUUCGGGUUGUAAAGCCCUUUUGUUGGGAAAGAAAAGCAGCAGGUUAAUACCCCGCUGUUCUGACGGUACCCAAAGAAUAAGCACCGGCUAACUUCGUG